RNAcentral lists this ribosomal RNA (64 nucleotides) under uncultured bacterium. RNAcentral's name for it is "partial 16S ribosomal RNA". The record is from RNAcentral.
AUCCCUUGACAUCCCGGUCGCGAUUUCCAGAGAUGGAUUUCUUCAGUUCGGCUGGACCGGAGAC